UACUGUAGAUAUUUGCUUUUUUUUUUUUCCUUUUCACAAGUAGUCAUUCACCUAUUUUAUUUUAGAUCAUCGGAUCCAAGUUCUGCACCAGAAGCAUAUGAUGCAUGAACAUAAACUUUCAGAAAAACAAGAUGAAGUGUUAAGCACACCUGUGAAUAUGACAGAUGUAAAAGGCAAGUAUUCCCAGUUUUUAAAUUUCUUAUCUAUCCUCUUGGGAUAGAAUUCAUCCCUGUGCAGAAGGCCAGCACAAAGUCUGUGCAUUACUUACGUCCCACUUCAACUUUAAAAAAUUGAGCUUAAGUGAAACUUAAAUAGUGCACAGACCUUGUGUUAGCCAUCUGAAUUUCACACCUAUUGUGUGCACAUACAGAAUUAUGAUUUUAAUAUGUGCAAUUAUAUAGUUUCAGGGCCAUCUGUAAAAACACAGUUAUUACCAAGUGGAGUGCACAUUGAUGUGCAAGAGAUGUUAUCUUCUAACAGUGUGACAACAAAAGCAGCUCAGGUUUCUAACGGUUCUUCAAUGCUGAUUAUUAACAAGCUGCAGAAGAUUUUCCCAAAUAUACUUUUGGACACUCAGUCAAAAUAUAAGAAAGUGGAUAAUGAAAACAAAGAAGAGGGUAAAAAGAAAAGGAUGUUGUUUCCUGAUUUGGAGGAAGAUAAAAAUACUGGUAAUAACAAAGACAGCUUAACAAGAACUAAUAUUACUAUAAGAUUCCAUUCCAAUGAUAAUUCAAGCCAAACUCAGAUUGAUAUUUACAAUUUAAAAAAUUCAAGAGCGAAUCCUGAGGUGCAUAUUGUCGCCAGCAAUAUUAUUGACCAACAAAAUAAAAUAAAUUCAGUAGUAGUACAAGAUGAUGUUUUGCAAGUGACCGUAAACAGUUCACUGGAUAAAAAAAUACAGAAUAAUACAAAAGUAAGAGGAAAAAGUCUUGCAAAAAUUGAGGUUGGAAAUAUGGAAAGAAACUCCACAGGUAGCAACAGGAAAAAACUUCUUAUAGCAGAUUUGACAACCAAUAGUAUGAAAAAAACAAGUAGUCAUUCAGCAUUUUUUGAAG
RNAcentral lists this long non-coding RNA (1055 nucleotides) under Chrysemys picta bellii (western painted turtle). RNAcentral describes it as "lncRNA (ENSCPBG00000019019.1)". The record is from RNAcentral. Lineage: Eukaryota; Metazoa; Chordata; Testudines; Emydidae.